GAUUAUGGCUCGGGAUGAACGCUGGCGGCGUGCCUAACACAUGCAAGUCGAGCGAUCUCUCGGAAGAGAGCGGCGGACGGGUGAGUAACGCGUGGGUAACCUGCCCUGUACACACGGAUAACAUACCGAAAGGUAUGCUAAUACGGGAUAACAUACUUUUAUCGCAUGGUAGAAGUAUCAAAGCUCCGGCGGUACAGGAUGGACCCGCGUCUGAUUAGCUAGUUGGUAAGGUAACGGCUUACCAAGGCGACGAUCAGUAGCCGACCUGAGAGGGUGAUCGGCCACAUUGGAACUGAGACACGGUCCAAACUCCUACGGGAGGCAGCAGUGGGGAAUAUUGCACAAUGGGCGAAAGCCUGAUGCAAGCAACGCCGCGUGAGCGAUGAAGGCCUUCGGGUCGUAAAGCUCUGUCCUCAAGGAAGAUAAUGACGGUACUUGAGGAGGAAGCCCCGGCUAACUACGUGCCAGCCGCUGC
This 475-nucleotide ribosomal RNA is filed under the name uncultured bacterium. RNAcentral's name for it is "bacterial SSU rRNA". It matches the Rfam family "Bacterial small subunit ribosomal RNA", at positions 15 to 518 of the family's 1533-position model. The record is from RNAcentral.